GUGGGGAAUAUUGGACAAUGGGGGGAACCCUGAUCCAGCCAUGCCGCGUGUGUGAAGAAGGCCUUUUGGUUGUAAAGCACUUUAAGCGAGGAGGAGGCUACCGAGAUUAAUACUCUUGGAUAGUGGACGUUACUCGCAGAAUAAGCACCGGCUAACUCUGUGCCAGCAGCCGCGGUAAUACAGAGGGUGCAAGCGUUAAUCGGAUUUACUGGGCGUAAAGCGCGCGUAGGUGGCCAAUUAAGUCAAAUGUGAAAUCCCCGAGCUUAACUUGGGAAUUGCAUUCGAUACUGGUUGGCUAGAGUAUGGGAGAGGAUGGUAGAAUUCCAGGUGUAGCAGUGAAAUGCGUAGAGAUCUGGAGGAAUACCGAUGGCGAAGGCAGCCAUCUGGCCUAAUACUGACACUGAGGUGCGAAAGCAUGGGGAGCAAACAGGAUUAGAUACCCCAGUAGUCC
This 451-nucleotide ribosomal RNA is filed under the name uncultured bacterium. RNAcentral describes it as "partial 16S ribosomal RNA". It matches the Rfam family "Bacterial small subunit ribosomal RNA", at positions 354 to 796 of the family's 1533-position model. The record is from RNAcentral.